CCUACGGGAGGCAGCAGUGAGGAAUAUUGGUCAAUGGGCGCGAGCCUGAACCAGCCAAGUCGCGUGAGGGAUGACGGUCCUACGGAUUGUAAACCUCUUUUGCCGGGGAGCAAGCGUGCGUUCGUGAACGCGCGUCGAGAGUACCCGGAGAAAAAGCAUCGGCUAACUCCGUGCCAGCAGCCGCGGUAAUCCGGAGGAUGCGAGCGUUAUCCGGUGUUAUUGGGUUUAAAGGGUGCGUAGGCGGGAUGCCAAGUCAGCGGUAAAAAUGCGGUGCUCAACGCCGUCGUGCCGUUGAAACUGGGGUGCUGGAGUGGGCGAGAAGUAAGCGGAAUGCGUGGUGUAGCGGUGAAAUGCAUAGAUAUCACGCAGAACUCCGAUUGCGAAGGCAGCAUACCGGCGCCCUACUGACGCUGAGGCACGAAAGCGUUGGUAGCGAACAGGAUUAGAUACCCUGGUAGUC
Molecule: ribosomal RNA, 460 nt
Filed under: uncultured bacterium
Lineage: Bacteria
Description: partial 16S ribosomal RNA
Rfam family: Bacterial small subunit ribosomal RNA
Source: RNAcentral